Molecule: ribosomal RNA, 406 nt
Filed under: uncultured Thalassiosira
Lineage: Eukaryota; Bacillariophyta; Thalassiosirophyceae; Thalassiosirales; Thalassiosiraceae
Description: partial Bacterial large subunit ribosomal RNA
Rfam family: Bacterial large subunit ribosomal RNA
Source: RNAcentral
GUAAGUUCCGACCUGCACGAAUGGCGUAACGACUUCUCCGCUGUCUCAACCGCGAACUCGGUGAAAUUGCAGUACGAGUAAAGAUGCUCGUUUCGCGCAGAAGGACGGAAAGACCCCGGGACCUUUACUAUAGCUUGGUAUUGGUGUUCGCUUGGACUUGUGUAGGAUAGGUGGGAGACUGUGAAGCUGCCGCGCCAGCGGUGGUGGAGUCGUCGUUGAAAUACCAUUCUGGUUCAAGCGGUCACCUCAACCUAGACCCGUGAUCCGGGUUGGGGACAGUGCCUGGUGGGUAGUUUAACUGGGGCGGUUGCCUCCUAAAAUGUAACGGAGGCGCUCAAAGGUUCCCUCAGCCUGGUUGGUAAUCAGGUGGCGAGUGCAAGUGUACAAGGGAGCUUGACUGUGAGAC